Molecule: ribosomal RNA, 467 nt
Filed under: uncultured bacterium
Lineage: Bacteria
Description: partial 16S ribosomal RNA
Rfam family: Bacterial small subunit ribosomal RNA
Source: RNAcentral
GACGAACGCUGGCGGCGUGCUUAACACAUGCAAGUCGAACGGAAAGGCUCCAGCUUGCUGGAGUACUCGAGUGGCGAACGGGUGAGUAACACGUGGGUAAUCUGCCCUGCACUCUGGGAUAAGCCUGGGAAACUGGGUCUAAUACUGGAUAUGACCUUUCUCCUUAUGGGGUUUGGUGGAAAGUUUUUCGGUGUAGGAUGAGCCCGCGGCCUAUCAGCUUGUUGGUGGGGUGAUGGCCUACCAAGGCGACGACGGGUAGCCGGCCUGAGAGGGUGAUCGGCCACAUUGGGACUGAGAUACGGCCCAGACUCCUACGGGAGGCAGCAGUGGGGAAUAUUGCACAAUGGGCGGAAGCCUGAUGCAGCGACGCCGCGUGAGGGAUGACGCCCUUCGGGUUGUAAACCUCUUUCAGCAGGGACGAAGCGUAAGUGACGGUACCUGCAGAAGAAGCACCGGCUAACUAUGUG